ACCAAUCUCCUUCUCCUGUCCCUCUCUCAGUCUCCCAGAAGUCAUGAUCAGCUAUGUUGACGAGGACAUCCCUGAGUCACUUGCAUCACGGAGUUGUAUCUCUUUAACGGAUUCGGAGAGCGAUGGCUGUCCUGCAGAAGCUGAUCUUGGGCCGAGGUCAGACAGUUUGGAGGGGAUCCCUGAGAUGCUUGAGGCAGAAAGCCUUCCCUCUUUGCUGGUAACGUAAUAGCGUCCUUUCCGCCCUUUUUCCUCUUAUUGGAGGACUGUCCAAACUCAUUCUUUUUCCCCCCUUCAUA
Long non-coding RNA from Sceloporus undulatus (fence lizard), 296 nucleotides. RefSeq lists it as uncharacterized. The transcript is spliced from 3 exons. The record is from RefSeq and is a predicted model, not a curated record. Lineage: Eukaryota; Metazoa; Chordata; Lepidosauria; Squamata; Phrynosomatidae.